Molecule: long non-coding RNA, 531 nt
Filed under: Prunus persica (peach)
Lineage: Eukaryota; Viridiplantae; Streptophyta; Magnoliopsida; Rosales; Rosaceae
Description: long non-coding RNA (PPER_LNC000664)
Source: RNAcentral
UUUUUUUUGGGUUUGUUUAUAGAAGAAAUUAAAUGGUGUAGGGUUUAGUAAAAAUCAUACACAUAGAAAAGGGAAGGCGGAGCGUGUCCAUCAUGGCAGUGUCAUGCAUAUGAUAUGAGGGCCAAGCGAUGCUUCGACAACCUCUGGAAGUACAGUAUAAUUUCCAGCAAUGUAAUCGAUGCGAAAGCAUGUUUACGGUCAUUCUAAUCGUACGGCUUUACAAUUGCUCCUCCUCAAUACAAUCGAACCAUCAAUACUUGGAUAACCCUUUAGGGGAAGGGACAGAUCACUGAAGCUAGCCAUCACAGGCCAAAGGGAAGGUAAACAGCACCCAUCAUCGAACUUGAAUUUGCUGCUUGCCUUUCGGAUCUGCUUGACGUGAUUGAAACCCAUUGAUGAGACAGGCCAUGGCCUCUGCAUAACGUAUUGAUAAAUAUUCCCCAUGAAAGACGGGAAGUAGAACCGGUCAAAACUAGCCAAUGAUUAGUCCAGAUUCACAAAAUCUGCACCGAGUCCAGAACAGGACGAUCA